This 86-nucleotide transfer RNA is filed under the name Limosilactobacillus reuteri. Its description in RNAcentral is "tRNA-Tyr". It matches the Rfam family "tRNA". Rfam says of the family: Transfer RNA (tRNA) molecules are approximately 80 nucleotides in length. Their secondary structure includes four short double-helical elements and three loops (D, anti-codon, and T loops). Further hydrogen bonds mediate the characteristic L-shaped molecular structure. tRNAs have two regions of fundamental functional importance: the anti-codon, which is responsible for specific mRNA codon recognition, and the 3' end, to which the tRNAs corresponding amino acid is attached (by aminoacyl-tRNA synthetases). tRNAs cope with the degeneracy of the genetic code in two manners: having more than one tRNA (with a specific anti-codon) for a particular amino acid; and 'wobble' base-pairing, i.e. permitting non-standard base-pairing at the 3rd anti-codon position. Lineage: Bacteria; Bacillati; Bacillota; Bacilli; Lactobacillales; Lactobacillaceae. The record is from RNAcentral. RNAcentral also lists the same sequence under 2 other names.
UGGAGGAGUAGCGAAGUCUGGUUAAACGCGACGGUCUGUAAAACCGUUCCUUCGGGUUCGGCGGUUCGAAUCCACCCUCCUCCAUC